Molecule: ribosomal RNA, 492 nt
Filed under: Salmonella enterica subsp. enterica serovar Derby
Lineage: Bacteria; Pseudomonadati; Pseudomonadota; Gammaproteobacteria; Enterobacterales; Enterobacteriaceae
Also listed under: 4 other names
Description: partial 23S ribosomal RNA
Rfam family: Bacterial large subunit ribosomal RNA
Source: RNAcentral
UAAGCCUGUGAAGGUGGCCUGUGAGGGUUGCUGGAGGUAUCAGAAGUGCGAAUGCUGACAUAAGUAACGAUAAAGCGGGUGAAAAGCCCGCUCGCCGGAAGACCAAGGGUUCCUGUCCAACGUUAAUCGGGGCAGGGUGAGUCGACCCCUAAGGCGAGGCCGAAAGGCGUAGUCGAUGGGAAACGGGUUAAUAUUCCCGUACUUGGUGUUACUGCGAAGGGGGGACGGAGAAGGCUAUGUUGGCCGGGCGACGGUUGUCCCGGUUUAAGCGUGUAGGUGUGUGUUCCAGGUAAAUCCGGUUCACUUUAACACUGAGGCGUGACGACGAGGCACUACGGUGCUGAAGCAACAAAUGCCCUGCUUCCAGGAAAAGCCUCUAAGCAUCAGGUAACAUCAAAUCGUACCCCAAACCGACACAGGUGGUCAGGUAGAGAAUACCAAGGCGCUUGAGAGAACUCGGGUGAAGGAACUAGGCAAAAUGGUGCCGUAACU